This 1222-nucleotide long non-coding RNA is filed under the name Heterocephalus glaber (naked mole-rat). RNAcentral's name for it is "lncRNA (ENSHGLG00000036617.1)". Lineage: Eukaryota; Metazoa; Chordata; Mammalia; Rodentia; Bathyergidae. The record is from RNAcentral.
GUGUUUGUGUAUGUGUGUAUUUUUAAAAAAAACUUGCAUUUUCAAUAAUUGAUGCUAAAUUUCAUAAACUGCACUUCCUUAUCUGGUAAAGCUGAUGUUUUGUGCUUAUUAUGAAUUGCUGUAGUUAACUUUGAAUGUCAGACUUUAUUUAGAAAUACAAAACUUAUCCUUUAAGAUACAAAUGGUUGAGUGUGUGUACCCAAUAUUUCAAAUGAAAUUUCACAUGCUAAAUUAGUUAAUGAAGGUAACGAGAUUGUAGUUAAUAUAAAGUCAGUGACCAAAUGCAGUAAAUAUUGGUUGCUCAUAUAUACCAUGAGUAACUUAAAAUUUUUCAUUUACUUUCAAUAGCAUAUAAUUCCUUAAUAAGUGGACUUGACUUUUCUUUCCAGUUAAGCACUUCAGGAUCAUGUCUUGUACUUCCAUCAGAACAAAAAAAUGUAAAAGCAGUGUGUUCAGAAUAAUUCUGAAUUGUGUUUUGGUAGUACCCCCUUUGCCAAACUUUUAUUUAGCUAAUCCUAAGAGCAAUGAAAACAAUACACAAGUGAAAGUACUUUGAAAUUAAAUGAAAACAGUGCUUUUGAAAGGUUGGUCCAUCUAUGACCAUUGAGACAGCCUUUGUGUUACAGCCAAAAUGUUGGUGCUAUAAAUUCUGAUUGUUUACAGAUGUUGAUUCUGCUUAUGCUCCAAACUGCAUGAUGUAUUUUAAGUAGUACUUUGAAGAAGAAAAUAUGAAACCUACUACCACUUAGUUUAAAUUUAUUUGAAUUUGUAUCACUUGUUACUAUAAAUUUAGCUUACUCAAAUUUGGUUCACACUGGAUUUAAACGAACACUAUUCCACCAAAGCUAGUUCAGUGUAUAUGUUGAGAAAUAUAGGGAGUCAUUGUGGCUUGGUGCCAGAUCACAAUGUGUAAUAACAAAUGAAGUUAAUAGGGCCUUCUAAUACUGUAUGGGUACUCUUAAGAAUGAUUUCAUUUGGAUAUAAAAAAGUUGAGGGGCUUCCUGUCAUGUUCACAUCAAGUUCUACAAAAUAAUUUGACAUUUCAAAAACAAAUGAUAAUCAUACGGUUGGAUCCUUCAGGAUUGUGAAUAGAUCUUGUGGUUUUACCAUCGUUGCCAAGUGGUGGGAGGUAGUGUACCUGAAAAUGUAUGUUUGUGUUUGUUGUAUUUUUUCACAUUUUGUGAGCAAAGCACAUUUAUUAAAAAUUUUAAAUUUUCUAGUA